AUACGUAGGGGGCGGGCGUUGUCCGGAAUCACUGGGCGUAAAGGGUGCGUAGGCGGUUAUAUAAGUCAGGUGUAAAAGGCAUUGGCUCAACCAAUGUAAGCACUUGAAACUGUAUAACUUGAGUACAGGAGAGGUAAGUGGAAUUCCUAGUGUAGCGGUGAAAUGCGUAGAUAUUAGGAGGAACACCAGUGGCGAAGGCGACUUACUGGACUGUAACUGACGCUGAGGCACGAAAGCGUGGGGAGCGAACAGGAUUAGAUACCCUGGUAGUCCACGCCGUAAACGAUGAGUGCUAGGUGUUGGCAUGCGAGUGUCAGUGCCGAAGUUAACGCAUUAAGCACUCCGCCUGGGGAGUACGGUCGCAAGACUGAA
RNAcentral lists this ribosomal RNA (372 nucleotides) under uncultured bacterium. RNAcentral's name for it is "bacterial SSU rRNA". It matches the Rfam family "Bacterial small subunit ribosomal RNA", at positions 523 to 898 of the family's 1533-position model. The record is from RNAcentral.